RNAcentral lists this ribosomal RNA (210 nucleotides) under Olea europaea subsp. europaea. Its description in RNAcentral is "Bacterial large subunit ribosomal RNA". Lineage: Eukaryota; Viridiplantae; Streptophyta; Magnoliopsida; Lamiales; Oleaceae. The record is from Rfam by way of RNAcentral.
ACUGUUUAUCAAAAACAUAUUUUCAUAAAGUCGUAAGAUCAUGUAUAUGGAUCGAUGCCUACCCAAUGCCUAAAGGUCAAGAAAGUUAGUGGCCUAAUGAUAAAGAAGUCAUCAAUCGAAACUCCAAUGAACGAUGAUGAUAAAUAAUUAUAGCAAUCAUAAGGUAGCGAAAUUUCUUGUCGGAUAAGUUUACACCCGCAAUACACAUAA